Molecule: ribosomal RNA, 253 nt
Filed under: uncultured bacterium
Lineage: Bacteria
Description: partial 16S ribosomal RNA
Rfam family: Bacterial small subunit ribosomal RNA
Source: RNAcentral
UACAGAGGAGCCAAGCGUUGUCCGGAAUCAUUGGGCGUAAAGAGCGUGUAGGCGGCCCGGUAAGUCCGCUGUAAAAGUCAAAGGCUCAACCUUUGAAUGUCAGUGGAUACUGCCGGGCUAGAGUCCGGAAGAGGCGAGUGGAACUCCUGGUGUAGCGGUGGAAUGCGCAGAUAUCAGGAGGAACACCGGUGGCGAAGGCGGGUCUCUGGGCCGAUACUGACGCUGAGGAGCGAAAGCGUGGGUAGCAAACAGG